Molecule: ribosomal RNA, 2858 nt
Filed under: Salmonella enterica subsp. enterica serovar Typhimurium
Lineage: Bacteria; Pseudomonadati; Pseudomonadota; Gammaproteobacteria; Enterobacterales; Enterobacteriaceae
Description: bacterial LSU rRNA
Rfam family: Bacterial large subunit ribosomal RNA
Source: RNAcentral
AGCGUACACGGUGGAUGCCCUGGCAGUCAGAGGCGAUGAAGGACGUGCUAAUCUGCGAUAAGCGCCGGUAAGGUGAUAUGAACCGUUAUAACCGGCGAUUUCCGAAUGGGGAAACCCAGUGUGAUUCGUCACACUAUCAUUAACUGAAUCCAUAGGUUAAUGAGGCGAACCGGGGGAACUGAAACAUCUAAGUACCCCGAGGAAAAGAAAUCAACCGAGAUUCCCCCAGUAGCGGCGAGCGAACGGGGAGGAGCCCAGAGCCUGAAUCAGCAUGUGUGUUAGUGGAAGCGUCUGGAAAGGUGCGCGAUACAGGGUGACAGCCCCGUACACAAAAGCGCAUGUGCUGUGAGCUCGAUGAGUAGGGCGGGACACGUGGUAUCCUGUCUGAAUAUGGGGGGACCAUCCUCCAAGGCUAAAUACUCCUGACUGACCGAUAGUGAACCAGUACCGUGAGGGAAAGGCGAAAAGAACCCCGGCGAGGGGAGUGAAAAAGAACCUGAAACCGUGUACGUACAAGCAGUGGGAGCACAGGUUUACCUGUGUGACUGCGUACCUUUUGUAUAAUGGGUCAGCGACUUAUAUUCUGUAGCAAGGUUAACCGAAUAGGGGAGCCGGAGGGAAACCGAGUCUUAAUUGGGCGUUAAGUUGCAGGGUAUAGACCCGAAACCCGGUGAUCUAGCCAUGGGCAGGUUGAAGGUUGGGUAACACUAACUGGAGGACCGAACCGACUAAUGUUGAAAAAUUAGCGGAUGACCUGUGGCUGGGGGUGAAAGGCCAAUCAAACCGGGAGAUAGCUGGUUCUCCCCGAAAGCUAUUUAGGUAGCGCCUCGUGAAUUCAUCUCCGGGGGUAGAGCACUGUUUCGGCUAGGGGGCCAUCCCGGCUUACCAACCCGAUGCAAACUGCGAAUACCGGAGAAUGUUAUCACGGGAGACACACGGCGGGUGCUAACGUCCGUCGUGAAGAGGGAAACAACCCAGACCGCCAGCUAAGGUCCCAAAGUCAUGGUUAAGUGGGAAACGAUGUGGGAAGGCCCAGACAGCCAGGAUGUUGGCUUAGAAGCAGCCAUCAUUUAAAGAAAGCGUAAUAGCUCACUGGUCGAGUCGGCCUGCGCGGAAGAUGUAACGGGGCUAAACCAUGCACCGAAGCUGCGGCAGCGAACGUAUCACUUAAAGCGAUUCAGCGGGUUACGAUUGACGGAGCGAAGCGACGUCAAAGCGUAUACAAAGUCGAGUCGGUUUAAGGAUACGUUCGUUGGGUAGGGGAGCGUUCUGUAAGCCCGUGAAGGUGGCCUGUGAGGGUUGCUGGAGGUAUCAGAAGUGCGAAUGCUGACAUAAGUAACGAUAAAGCGGGUGAAAAGCCCGCUCGCCGGAAGACCAAGGGUUCCUGUCCAACGUUAAUCGGGGCAGGGUGAGUCGACCCCUAAGGCGAGGCCGAAAGGCGUAGUCGAUGGGAAACGGGUUAAUAUUCCCGUACUUGGUGUUACUGCGAAGGGGGGACGGAGAAGGCUAUGUUGGCCGGGCGACGGUUGUCCCGGUUUAAGCGUGUAGGUGUGUGUUCCAGGUAAAUCCGGUUCACUUUAACACUGAGGCGUGAUGACGAGGCACUACGGUGCUGAAGCAACAAAUGCCCUGCUUCCAGGAAAAGCCUCUAAGCAUCAGGUAACAUCAAAUCGUACCCCAAACCGACACAGGUGGUCAGGUAGAGAAUACCAAGGCGCUUGAGAGAACUCGGGUGAAGGAACUAGGCAAAAUGGUGCCGUAACUUCGGGAGAAGGCACGCUGACACGUAGGUGAAGUGAUUUACUCACGGAGCUGAAGUCAGUCGAAGAUACCAGCUGGCUGCAACUGUUUAUUAAAAACACAGCACUGUGCAAACACGAAAGUGGACGUAUACGGUGUGACGCCUGCCCGGUGCCGGAAGGUUAAUUGAUGGGGUCAGCGCAAGCGAAGCUCCUGAUCGAAGCCCCGGUAAACGGCGGCCGUAACUAUAACGGUCCUAAGGUAGCGAAAUUCCUUGUCGGGUAAGUUCCGACCUGCACGAAUGGCGUAAUGAUGGCCAGGCUGUCUCCACCCGAGACUCAGUGAAAUUGAACUCGCUGUGAAGAUGCAGUGUACCCGCGGCAAGACGGAAAGACCCCGUGAACCUUUACUAUAGCUUGACACUGAACAUUGAGCCUUGAUGUGUAGGAUAGGUGGGAGGCUUUGAAGUGUGGACGCCAGUCUGCAUGGAGCCGACCUUGAAAUACCACCCUUUAAUGUUUGAUGUUCUAACGUGGACCCGUAAUCCGGGUUGCGGACAGUGUCUGGUGGGUAGUUUGACUGGGGCGGUCUCCUCCUAAAGAGUAACGGAGGAGCACGAAGGUUGGCUAAUCCUGGUCGGACAUCAGGAGGUUAGUGCAAUGGCAUAAGCCAGCUUGACUGCGAGCGUGACGGCGCGAGCAGGUGCGAAAGCAGGUCAUAGUGAUCCGGUGGUUCUGAAUGGAAGGGCCAUCGCUCAACGGAUAAAAGGUACUCCGGGGAUAACAGGCUGAUACCGCCCAAGAGUUCAUAUCGACGGCGGUGUUUGGCACCUCGAUGUCGGCUCAUCACAUCCUGGGGCUGAAGUAGGUCCCAAGGGUAUGGCUGUUCGCCAUUUAAAGUGGUACGCGAGCUGGGUUUAGAACGUCGUGAGACAGUUCGGUCCCUAUCUGCCGUGGGCGCUGGAGAACUGAGGGGGGCUGCUCCUAGUACGAGAGGACCGGAGUGGACGCAUCACUGGUGUUCGGGUUGUCAUGCCAAUGGCACUGCCCGGUAGCUAAAUGCGGAAGAGAUAAGUGCUGAAAGCAUCUAAGCACGAAACUUGCCCCGAGAUGAGUUCU